AAGGUUUCGGCCUUAGUGGCGGACGGGUGAGUAACGCGUAGGAAUCUAUCCAUGGGUGGGGGAUAACACUGGGAAACUGGUGCUAAUACCGCAUGAUACCUGAGGGUCAAAGGCGCAAGUCGCCUGUGGAGGAGCCUGCGUUCGAUUAGCUAGUUGGUGGGGUAAAGGCCUACCAAGGCGAUGAUCGAUAGCUGGUUUGAGAGGAUGAUCAGCCACACUGGGACUGAGACACGGCCCAGACUCCUACGGGAGGCAGCAGUGGGGAAUAUUGGACAAUGGGGGCAACCCUGAUCCAGCAAUGCCGCGUGUGUGAAGAAGGUCUUCGGAUUGUAAAGCACUUUCGACGGGGACGAUGAUGACGGUACCCGUAGAAGAAGCCCCGGCUAACUUCGUGCCAGCAUCCGCGGUAAUACGAAGGGGGCUAGCGUUGCUCGGAAUGACUGGGCGUAAAGGGCGUGUAGGCGGUUUUGACAGUCAGAUGUGAAAUCCCCGGGCUUAACCUGGGAGCUGCAUUUGAGACGUCAAGACUAGAGUGUGAGAGAGGGUUGUGGAAUUCCCAGUGUAGAGGUGAUAUUCGUAGAUAUUUGGGAAGAACACCGGUGGCGAAGGCGGCAACCUGGCUCAUUACUGACGCUGAGGCGCGAAAGCGGGGGGGAGCAA
This 660-nucleotide ribosomal RNA is filed under the name uncultured Acetobacter sp. RNAcentral's name for it is "bacterial SSU rRNA". It matches the Rfam family "Bacterial small subunit ribosomal RNA", at positions 80 to 771 of the family's 1533-position model. The record is from RNAcentral. Lineage: Bacteria; Pseudomonadati; Pseudomonadota; Alphaproteobacteria; Acetobacterales; Acetobacteraceae.